Molecule: ribosomal RNA, 699 nt
Filed under: uncultured bacterium
Lineage: Bacteria
Description: bacterial SSU rRNA
Rfam family: Bacterial small subunit ribosomal RNA
Source: RNAcentral
GGGAUAACACUUGGAAACAGGUGCUAAUACCGUAUAACACUAUUUUCCGCAUGGAAGAAAGUUGAAAGGCGCUUUUGCGUCACUGAUGGAUGGACCCGCGGUGCAUUAGCUAGUUGGUGAGGUAACGGCUCACCAAGGCCACGAUGCAUAGCCGACCUGAGAGGGUGAUCGGCCACACUGGGACUGAGACACGGCCCAGACUCCUACGGGAGGCAGCAGUAGGGAAUCUUCGGCAAUGGACGAAAGUCUGACCGAGCAACGCCGUGUGAGUGAAGAAGGUUUUCGGAUCGUAAAACUCUGUUGUUAGAGAAGAACAAGGAUGAGAGUAAAAUGUUCAUCCCUUGACGGUAUCUAACCAGAAAGCCACGGCUAACUACGUGCCAGCAGCCGCGGUAAUACGUAGGUGGCAAGCGUUGUCCGGAUUUAUUGGGCGUAAAGCGAGCGCAGGCGGUUUCUUAAGUCUGAUGUGAAAGCCCCCGGCUCAACCGGGGAGGGUCAUUGGAAACUGGGAGACUUGAGUGCAGAAGAGGAGAGUGGAAUUCCAUGUGUAGCGGUGAAAUGCGUAGAUAUAUGGAGGAACACCAGUGGCGAAGGCGGCUCUCUGGUCUGUAACUGACGCUGAGGCUCGAAAGCGUGGGGAGCGAACAGGAUUAGAUACCCUGGUAGUCCACGCCGUAAACGAUGAGUGAUAAGUGUUGG